This 72-nucleotide transfer RNA is filed under the name Ovis aries (sheep). It matches the Rfam family "tRNA". From Rfam's summary of the family: Transfer RNA (tRNA) molecules are approximately 80 nucleotides in length. Their secondary structure includes four short double-helical elements and three loops (D, anti-codon, and T loops). The record is from Rfam by way of RNAcentral. Lineage: Eukaryota; Metazoa; Chordata; Mammalia; Artiodactyla; Bovidae.
UCCCUGGUGGCUCAGAGGGUAAAGAGCCUGCCUGCAGUGCGGGAGACCCAGGUUCAACCCCUGGGUUGGGAA